Molecule: non-coding RNA, 22 nt
Filed under: Arabidopsis thaliana (thale cress)
Lineage: Eukaryota; Viridiplantae; Streptophyta; Magnoliopsida; Brassicales; Brassicaceae
Source: RNAcentral
GCUAAUGUGCUUAUAUUAUGGU